Molecule: long non-coding RNA, 332 nt
Organism: Physeter macrocephalus (sperm whale)
Lineage: Eukaryota; Metazoa; Chordata; Mammalia; Artiodactyla; Physeteridae
Exons: 3
Source: RefSeq, a predicted model, not a curated record
GUUUCCUUCCUCCCAGCUGGAAAGGUCCCAAAGUGUUCUCCCGUGUUCAUAGAAAAGUUGGCACGAGGCUCAGGGUCUCCAAAUUAAAGAGUGUCUGGAGCCCAAGAGGACAAAUGGGUCCGAUGAAUCCCAUGUGGUAUUUGUGCUGAUUAAGCAGAGUUUGGGGAUCCUGCCCCUCCCAGUGACCUCGACACUCACCCUGGAACAGUAGUAAUGAAAAGGAAAAUAGCAAACAGUGAGUUCCACAUCCUCUGCCCCUGGGGGAAAAAACUACCUCUUGGGGCCUCAGGAGGAAACGGUAGUUUCCUGGGCCUCGCUUUCCACCCAGAGUG